GAUGAACGCUGGCGGCGUGCCUAAUACAUGCAAGUCGAGCGAACAGACGAGGAGCUUGCUCCUCUGACGUUAGCGGCGGACGGGUGAGUAACACGUGGAUAACCUACCUAUAAGACUGGGAUAACUUCGGGAAACCGGAGCUAAUACCGGAUAAUAUAUUGAACCGCAUGGUUCAAUAGUGAAAGACGGUUUUGCUGUCACUUAUAGAUGGAUCCGCGCCGCAUUAGCUAGUUGGUAAGGUAACGGCUUACCAAGGCAACGAUGCGUAGCCGACCUGAGAGGGGGGAUCGGCCACCUUGAACCUAGGAACCGUUCAGACCCCCUAGGGAGGGCGGCGGUGGGAAUUCUUCCGAAUGGGGCGAAAGCCUACCGAGGCACCGCGCCGGGGGUGAGGAGGUCCUCCGGUUCGUAAACCCCUGUUAUUGGGGAGAAAAAAAUGUGUAGGUAACGAUGCACGUCUGAAGGGAACCAAAGCAGAAGGCCCCGCCUACCUCCUG
Molecule: ribosomal RNA, 497 nt
Filed under: uncultured bacterium
Lineage: Bacteria
Description: partial 16S ribosomal RNA
Rfam family: Bacterial small subunit ribosomal RNA
Source: RNAcentral